UGCUACUUGAUACUCCGAUAUGCCGAAGGCUGGAUGAAAAGAAUGCAUUAGUGGGCUAUACCCAAUAUAUAUUGAGCUCCAUGCUGAUAACAUGUAAAUUGAAAUGGAAUUUCUUCAAAGAAUAAAACACAACAAUGAGCCACACUUGAUAGUUCUUCAAUACAGACGCAUUUUGCCGGAAAACGAAUCUGACUUCAAACCACGAAAUUUUAACAGGAAAGAGACAAUUUGAUGAGCUUUCAUUCAAGAGGUCCCUGGUUGCUGAACGAAAAUUAGGGCUGGAGCUAUGAACCAUAACGUUAACAUUACCGCCUAUGGAAAAUGCAUUAGUGGACUAUACCCAUCUAUCUCUAAAUUUGGUUCUUUAGAAAACAUCACUGCUUUGAGAUAUAGGAAUAACGUGAAUUCUAAGGCGAACUGUACGCGCAUGAUUUUCGUGCAUGUUGGCACAACCGACUGAACACAUUGGCCAGGCACAGGGGUGUACGUCUCUUUCUACAAGUUGGUGCUCAGUUGCGACAGGAAGCAGAGGUGGUUGUUGUUGCUGUGCGAUCUGCGGACUUGGAGAGGGAGACUAACCGGAUAUACACUGCCCUAGAGAAAAGUAUCCAGAAAACCUGGGAUGAGUACAUGGAAGAAGCUUAGACCACCAGUCACUUUCUGCCAGCGAUAUCGUCCUGUUGCAGCCCGUCCGUCAACACCGAGUGAUCGAACUGUUUUAAUAUAUAAUGCGAUGUGAUGACUGACUUUUGAAAUGUGUUGAUCAGUGUGUUGAACAGUGAUUAUUUUAGUUAUAUGUGUAUUCUAUAGUGCUUGCUGUAUUUAUUUAUAUUUACAUCUAUACACUGUCCGGAGUUUUUGCUUCCACCACUUCUUGCUUGAUAUUUCAAUAAUAGUAAAUACGUUCAUCCACUAAUAUGAAAAAUGUCCAGAUUAUCUGUUUUGAAACGCCCCCUCUACCGCUUCAGGUUUCAAUACACAUCCAAAAAUUGAAAGUCUACCGGAGAUUUUGCAUUGCAUCAGCCAUUAAUAAGCCCGGAUAAUAAUGUUAAAAAAUUGCGCGAUGUAUUCCGAGUGUAUUCCGAAUGGAGAAAAGAUGUAAACAUUUCCCAUUACAAAUCUCCGUAAGAAAAUUGUUUUGAAAAUUUGAUGAGUUUAAAGGGAUAUAAUUGUUUAAUGAAGAUGUCUUGGAUAUAUUCCCUUUCAGAGAUUUCAAUUGUAUUUCUUUCACAGGUAGUGUAUUUUUAUUAGAAAUCAUCGCCCUGUUUAUCGAUUGGUCAAAACCUACAGUGACCUAAGAAAUAUCACGGACUGCACAAAAUAAUCAUGAUGAUGUCAGACUCAAAGUCUCACAGGAGACGAUUUGGCUGUUUCUUCUAGCUAACGUGCUUAUGUACAUAAAUAAUAAUUUAGUAAAUUUUACUUGCUUUCGUAAUCAAUUUAUUAAAGUUAAAAGAAAGAUGUUAAUAUAAAUAAUAAAAUGCUUUUUUUGGUGAUUCAUGCAAGUUAUGAAGGUAGCGAUAAUUGCAGAAAAAUGUUUGUAGUGUAUGUUUGAUGUUCAUUCAUGAUUAUAAAGCCAACUAUUGAAUAAA
Long non-coding RNA from Magallana angulata, 1592 nucleotides. RefSeq lists it as uncharacterized. The record is from RefSeq and is a predicted model, not a curated record. NCBI's taxonomy places the organism in Eukaryota, Metazoa, Mollusca, Bivalvia, Ostreida, Ostreidae. The transcript is spliced from 5 exons.